This 505-nucleotide ribosomal RNA is filed under the name uncultured bacterium. RNAcentral describes it as "partial 16S ribosomal RNA". It matches the Rfam family "Bacterial small subunit ribosomal RNA", at positions 899 to 1397 of the family's 1533-position model. The record is from RNAcentral.
ACUCAAAUGAAUAGACGGGGGCUCACACAAGCGGUGGAGCAUGUGGUUCAAUUCGAAGCAACGCGCAGAACCUUACCUGGGCUUGACAUGCCUGGAUUAUCCCCAUGAAAGUGGGGUAGGCCCUUCGGGGUACAACAGGCACAGGUGCUGCAUGGCUGUCGUCAGCUCGUGUCGUGAGAUGUCGGGUUAAGUCCCAUAACGAGCGAAACCUUUGCCCUUAGUUACCAGCGGGUUAAGCCGGGGACUCUAAGGGGACUGCCGGUGUCAAACCGGAGGAAGGUGGAGAUGACGUCAAGUCCUCAUGGCCUUUAUGCCCAGGGCCACACACGUGCUACAAUGCCGCCGACAAAGCGAACCUAAAGCGCAAGCUGGUGGGAAUCGCAGAAAUGGCGGCCCAGUUCAGAUCGGAGGCUGCAACUCGCCUCCGUGAAGUUGGAAUCGCUAGUAAUCGCGGAUCAGCCACGCCGCGGUGAAUGUGUUCCUGAGCCUUGCACACACCGCCCGU